RNAcentral lists this ribosomal RNA (415 nucleotides) under uncultured crenarchaeote. RNAcentral describes it as "partial 16S ribosomal RNA". It matches the Rfam family "Archaeal small subunit ribosomal RNA", at positions 330 to 747 of the family's 1478-position model. Lineage: Archaea; Thermoproteati; Thermoproteota. The record is from RNAcentral.
GUGCAGCAGUCGCGCAACCUCUGCAAUACGCGAAAGCGUGACAGGGCUACCCCGAGUGCCGUCCGCUGAGGAUGGCUUUUCUCCGGUGUAGUAAGCCGGAGGAAUAAGGAGAGGGCAAGUCUGGUGUCAGCCGCCGCGGUAAUACCAGCUCUCCGAGUGGUAGGGACGAUUAUUGGGCCUAAAGCGUCCGUAGCCGGCCAAGCAAGUUUCCCGUUAAAUCCAGCGAUCCAAUCGUUGGACUGCGGGAAAUACUGUUAGGCUAGGGGGCGGGAGAAGCCGACGGUAUUUCCGGGGUAGGGGUAAAAUCCUAUAAUCCCGGGAGGACCACCAGUGGCGAAGGCUGUUGGCUAGAACACGCCCGACGGUGAGGGAUGAAAGCUGGGGGAGCGAACCGGAUUAGAUACCCCGGGAGUCC